Molecule: ribosomal RNA, 432 nt
Filed under: Diplolaimelloides sp. ex Grus americana W220
Lineage: Eukaryota; Metazoa; Nematoda; Chromadorea; Monhysterida; Monhysteridae
Description: SSU rRNA
Rfam family: Eukaryotic small subunit ribosomal RNA
Source: RNAcentral
AGGGUCUGACUCCGGAGAGGGAGCCUGAGAAACGGCUACCACUUCUAAGGAAGGCAGCAGGCGCGCAAAUUACCCAUUCUCAGAACGAGGAGGUAGUGACGAAAAAUACCAAGGUGAGGCUCAUUGAGUUUCGCCAUUGGAAUGAGAACAAUCUAAAUCCUUUAACGAGGAUCUAGUGGAGGGCAAGUCUGGUGCCAGCAGCCGCGGUAAUUCCAGCUCCGCAAGUGUAUUCCUAUACUGUUGCGGUUAAAAAGCUCGUAGUUGGAUCUGAGUGUUUAGCGCUUGGUGCAGUUCUGCUGUUACUGAGUGCGGCACAUAAUCGCCAAUUGGUUGCCACUGUUGCCUUAACCGGUGAUGGUGGUUGACUGUUGGCAUGUUUACUUUGAACAAAUCAGAGUGCUCAAUACGGGCGUUUCGCUUGUAUGGUCGUGC